RNAcentral lists this ribosomal RNA (492 nucleotides) under uncultured bacterium. Its description in RNAcentral is "partial 16S ribosomal RNA". It matches the Rfam family "Bacterial small subunit ribosomal RNA", at positions 29 to 507 of the family's 1533-position model. The record is from RNAcentral.
AGUGAACGCUGGCGGUAGGCCUAACACAUGCAAGUCGAACGGCAGCACAGUAAGAGCUUGCUCUUACGGGUGGCGAGUGGCGGACGGGUGAGGAGUACAUCGGAAUCUACUUUUUCGUGGGGGAUAACGUAGGGAAACUUACGCUAAUACCGCAUACGACCUACGGGUGAAAGCAGGGGAUCUUCGGACCUUGCGCGAUUGAAUGAGCCGAUGUCGGAUUAGCUAGUUGGCGGGGUAAAGGCCCACCAAGGCGACGAUCCGUAGCUGGUCCGAGAGGAUGAUCAGCCACACUGGAACUGAGACACGGUCCAGACUCCUACGGGAGGCAGCAGUGGGGAAUAUUGGACAAUGGGCGCAAGCCUGAUCCAGCCAUACCGCGUGGGUGAAGAAGGCCUUCGGGUUGUAAAGCCCUUUUGUUGGGAAAGAAAAGCAGCAGGUUAAUACCCCGCUGUUCUGACGGUACCCAAAGAAUAAGCACCGGCUAACUUCGUG